This 437-nucleotide ribosomal RNA is filed under the name uncultured bacterium. RNAcentral's name for it is "bacterial SSU rRNA". It matches the Rfam family "Bacterial small subunit ribosomal RNA", at positions 958 to 1392 of the family's 1533-position model. The record is from RNAcentral.
AACGCGAAGAACCUUACCCAGGCUUGACAUGUAGUUGAAUAACUGUGAAAGCUGUUAGGCCCGCAAGGGACAAUUACACAGGUGCUGCAUGGCUGUCGUCAGCUCGUGCUGUGAAGUGUUGGGUUAAGUCCCGCAACGAGCGCAACCUUUAUUCUUAGUUGCCAUCACGUCAUGGUGGGCACUCUAAGGAGACUGCCGGUGAUAAACUGGAGGAAGGAGGAGAUGACGUCAAGUCAGUAUGGCCCUUAUGCCUGGGGCUACACACGUGCUACAAUGGCCACGACAAAGGGCAGCUACCCCGCGAGCGGGGAGCUAAUCCCAAACAAAUGGCCCCAGCUCGCAUCGGAGGCUGCAACUCCCCUCCAUGAAGUCCGAACCGCUCGUACAGCUGGAUCAGCCACGCUACCGCGAAUACGUCCCCGGGUCUUUCCACACGG